UACGUAGGCAGCAAGCGUUGUUCGGAGUUACUGGGCGUAAAGAGUGCGUAGGUGGUGCCCUAAGUCUGUUGUGAAAUCUCCCGGCUUAACUGGGAGGGUGCGGUGGAAACUGGGGUGCUUGAGUGUGGGAGAGGUAAGCGGAAUUCCUGGUGUAGCGGUGAAAUGCGUAGAUAUCAGGAGGAACACCGGUGGUGUAGACGGCUUACUGGACCACGACUGACACUGAGGCACGAAAGCGUGGGUAGCAAACAGG
RNAcentral lists this ribosomal RNA (253 nucleotides) under uncultured bacterium. RNAcentral's name for it is "partial 16S ribosomal RNA". It matches the Rfam family "Bacterial small subunit ribosomal RNA", at positions 524 to 776 of the family's 1533-position model. The record is from RNAcentral. RNAcentral also lists the same sequence under 1 other name.